UACGGAGGGAGCUAGCGUUGUCCGGAAUUAUUGGGCGUAAAGAGCUCGUAGGCGGUUUGUCGCGUCUGCUGUGAAAACUGGAGGCUCAACCUCCAGCCUGCAGUGGGUACGGGCAGACUAGAGUGCGGUAGGGGAGAUUGGAAUUCUUGGUGUAGCGGUGAAAUGCGUAGAUAUCAAGAGGAACGCCAGUGGCGAAAGCGGCUCUCUGGACAACUCCUGACCCUGAGGCACGAAAGCGUGGGGAGCAAACAGG
Molecule: ribosomal RNA, 253 nt
Filed under: uncultured bacterium
Lineage: Bacteria
Description: partial 16S ribosomal RNA
Rfam family: Bacterial small subunit ribosomal RNA
Source: RNAcentral